GGGUCUAUAGCCAAGUGGUAAGGCAUGGGACUGCAACUCCCCGAGCGUUGGUUCAAAUCCGACUAGGCCCUCCA
This 74-nucleotide transfer RNA is filed under the name Clostridium sp. CAG:1193. RNAcentral's name for it is "transfer RNA-Cys(GCA)". It matches the Rfam family "tRNA". Rfam says of the family: Transfer RNA (tRNA) molecules are approximately 80 nucleotides in length. Their secondary structure includes four short double-helical elements and three loops (D, anti-codon, and T loops). The record is from RNAcentral. RNAcentral also lists the same sequence under 2 other names. Lineage: Bacteria; Bacillati; Bacillota; Clostridia; Eubacteriales; Clostridiaceae.